AAUAACAUCCAUGUCACCCUGCAGCCCAAGACUCACCCAAGGCUCAAUGAAGCUAAGCAGGGUUGAGCCUGGUUAGUAUCUAGAUGGGAGACCACAUGGGAAAACUAGGUUGCUGUUGGAA
This is a ribosomal RNA of Danio rerio (zebrafish), 121 nucleotides long. The record is from Ensembl. Lineage: Eukaryota; Metazoa; Chordata; Actinopteri; Cypriniformes; Danionidae.